CGGUAACAGGAAGCAGCUUGCUGCUUCGCUGACGAGUGGCGGACGGGUGAGUAAUGUCUGGGAAACUGCCUGAUGGAGGGGGAUAACUACUGGAAACGGUAGCUAAUACCGCAUAACGUCGCAAGACCAAAGAGGGGGACCUUCGGGCCUCUUGCCAUCGGAUGUGCCCAGAUGGGAUUAGCUAGUAGGUGGGGUAACGGCUCACCUAGGCGACGAUCCCUAGCUGGUCUGAGAGGAUGACCAGCCACACUGGAACUGAGACACGGUCCAGACUCCUACGGGAGGCAGCAGUGGGGAAUAUUGCACAAUGGGCGCAAGCCUGAUGCAGCCAUGCCGCGUGUGUGAAGAAGGCCUUCGGGUUGUAAAGCACUUUCAGCGGGGGGGAAGGCGGGUAAGGUUAAUAACCUUACCGAUUGACGUUACCCGCACAAGAAGCACCGGCUAACUCCGUGCCAGCAGCCGCGGUAAUACGGAGGGUGCAAGCGUUAAUCGGAAUUACUGGGCGUAAAGCGCACGCAGGCGGUCUGUCAAGUCGGAUGUGAAAUCCCCGGGCUCAACCUGGGAACUGCAUUCGAAACUGGCAGGCUACAGUCUUGUAGAGGGGGGGUAGAAUUCCCCGUGUAGCGCGUGAAAUGCCUAAAGCUCUGGAAGAGUAUCGGAGGCGAACGCCCGCCCCCU
This 678-nucleotide ribosomal RNA is filed under the name uncultured bacterium. Its description in RNAcentral is "bacterial SSU rRNA". It matches the Rfam family "Bacterial small subunit ribosomal RNA", at positions 67 to 730 of the family's 1533-position model. The record is from RNAcentral.